RNAcentral lists this long non-coding RNA (277 nucleotides) under Nicotiana benthamiana. RNAcentral's name for it is "long non-coding RNA (NBEN_LNC039487)". Lineage: Eukaryota; Viridiplantae; Streptophyta; Magnoliopsida; Solanales; Solanaceae. The record is from RNAcentral.
AACAGUCUAACAAUGUGGGAAAGGGAACAUGUUGUGGGGAGAUAACAGUUUUCAAUAAAAGCAACAGGUAAAGAUAGAAACAACAUAACUCGAAUACAAAUGAGAAAUCAGUAAAUCAAUAGUUGCAUGGCACCACCCUUCGUGCUUUUACUCUCGUCUGCACUAAACAAUGCACGACAUCACCCUUCGUUCUUGCACUCUCUUUCCUCACCAUAUAAUCAUUAGGAUUUGGCACGGAAUGGUAUAUCACGCGGCACGAUAUCACCCUUUGUGCUUU